GACGGAGGAUGCAAGCGUUAUCCGGAAUGAUUGGCGUAAAGCGUCCGCAGGUGGCAGUUCAAGUCUGCUGUCAAAGACCGGGGCUUAACUUCGGAAAGGCAGUGGAAACUGAACAGCUAGAGUAUGGUAGGGGCAGAGGGAAUUCCUGGUGUAGCGGUGAAAUGCGUAGAGAUCAGGAAGAACAUCGGUGGCGAAGGCGCUCUGCUGGACCAUAACUGACACUCGAGGGAGCGAAAGCUAGGGAGCAAACAGGAUAGAU
This 259-nucleotide ribosomal RNA is filed under the name uncultured bacterium. Its description in RNAcentral is "partial 16S ribosomal RNA". It matches the Rfam family "Bacterial small subunit ribosomal RNA", at positions 524 to 783 of the family's 1533-position model. The record is from RNAcentral.